This 72-nucleotide transfer RNA is filed under the name Ictidomys tridecemlineatus (thirteen-lined ground squirrel). RNAcentral's name for it is "Spermophilus tridecemlineatus (thirteen-lined ground squirrel) tRNA". It matches the Rfam family "tRNA". From Rfam's summary of the family: Transfer RNA (tRNA) molecules are approximately 80 nucleotides in length. Their secondary structure includes four short double-helical elements and three loops (D, anti-codon, and T loops). The record is from Rfam by way of RNAcentral. Lineage: Eukaryota; Metazoa; Chordata; Mammalia; Rodentia; Sciuridae.
AGAGGUGUAGCUCAAUGGUAGAGCAUGUGCCUAGCAGGCAUGAGGCCCUGAGUUCAAUUCCCAGCACCGCAA